RNAcentral lists this ribosomal RNA (205 nucleotides) under Tomentella sp. Its description in RNAcentral is "partial large subunit ribosomal RNA". It matches the Rfam family "Eukaryotic large subunit ribosomal RNA", at positions 82 to 279 of the family's 3401-position model. Lineage: Eukaryota; Fungi; Basidiomycota; Agaricomycetes; Thelephorales; Thelephoraceae. The record is from RNAcentral.
AGUAACGGCGAGUGAAGCGGGAAGAGCUCAAAUUUAAAAUCUGGCGUGCCUCUGGUCGUCCGAAUUGUAGCCUGAAGAAGCGUCUUCUGUGUUGGACCGUGUACAAGUCUCUUGGAACAUGGCGUCAUAGAGGGUGCGAAUCCCGUCUUUGACACGGACUACCAAUGCUUUGUGAUGCGCUCUCAAAGAGUCGAGUUUUUUGGGA